RNAcentral lists this ribosomal RNA (330 nucleotides) under uncultured bacterium. Its description in RNAcentral is "bacterial SSU rRNA". It matches the Rfam family "Bacterial small subunit ribosomal RNA", at positions 568 to 897 of the family's 1533-position model. The record is from RNAcentral.
CAUGCAGGCGGUCGGGCGCGUUUUGUGUGACAGCGCAUGGCUUAACUAUGCGAGCAUACGAAAGACGGUCUGACUUGAGGGCUCGAGAGGGACACGGAAUUCCGGGUGGAGCGGUGAAAUGCGUAGAGAUCCGGAGGAACACCGAAGGCGAAGGCAGUGUCCUGGCGAGCGACUGACGCUGAGGUGCGAAAGCCAGGGGAGCGAACGGGAUUAGAUACCCCGGUAGUCCUGGCCGUAAACGAUGACCACCAGGUGUGGGAGGUAUCGACCCCUUCCGUGCCGGAGGCAACCCACUGAGUGGUCCGCCUGGGGAGUACGUCGCAAGAUUAA